ACGCUCGACACCUACGGGAGUCAGCAGUGGGGAAUAUUGCACAAUGGGGGAAACCCUGAUGCAGCGACGCCGCGUGGAGGAAGAAGGUCUUCGGAUUGUAAACUCCUGUUGUUGGGGAAAAAGAGGAUGGUACCCAACAAGGAAGUGACGGCUAACUACGUGCCGCAGCCGCGGUAAUCUGAGCGGGCUGGCAAGGC
This 197-nucleotide ribosomal RNA is filed under the name uncultured bacterium. RNAcentral's name for it is "partial 16S ribosomal RNA". It matches the Rfam family "Bacterial small subunit ribosomal RNA", at positions 328 to 539 of the family's 1533-position model. The record is from RNAcentral.